CAGCCGCCGCGGGAAUACGGAGGGGGCUAGCGUUGUUCGGAAUUACUGGGCGUAAAGCGCACGUAGGCGGCUUGGUAAGUUAGAGGUGAAAGCCUGGAGCUCAACUCCAGAAUUGCCUUUAAGACUGCCGAGCUAGCAGGUGAGAGAGGUAAGUGGAAUUCCGAGUGUAGAGGUGAAAUUCGUAGAUAUUCGGAAGAACACCAGUGGCGAAGGCGGCUUACUGGCUCAUACUGGACGCUGAGGCACGAAAGCGUGGGGAGCAAACAGGAUUAGAUACCCCUGUAGUCCCUGUCUCUUAUAC
This 301-nucleotide ribosomal RNA is filed under the name uncultured bacterium. RNAcentral describes it as "partial 16S ribosomal RNA". It matches the Rfam family "Bacterial small subunit ribosomal RNA", at positions 509 to 807 of the family's 1533-position model. The record is from RNAcentral.